UGGGGUGUAGCCAAGCUGGUAAGGCAACUGUUUUUGGUACAGUGUACCGGAGGUUCGAAUCCUUCCACCCCAGCCA
RNAcentral lists this transfer RNA (76 nucleotides) under Sulfitobacter sp. R18_1. RNAcentral's name for it is "tRNA-Gln". It matches the Rfam family "tRNA". From Rfam's summary of the family: Transfer RNA (tRNA) molecules are approximately 80 nucleotides in length. Their secondary structure includes four short double-helical elements and three loops (D, anti-codon, and T loops). Further hydrogen bonds mediate the characteristic L-shaped molecular structure. tRNAs have two regions of fundamental functional importance: the anti-codon, which is responsible for specific mRNA codon recognition, and the 3' end, to which the tRNAs corresponding amino acid is attached (by aminoacyl-tRNA synthetases). tRNAs cope with the degeneracy of the genetic code in two manners: having more than one tRNA (with a specific anti-codon) for a particular amino acid; and 'wobble' base-pairing, i.e. permitting non-standard base-pairing at the 3rd anti-codon position. The record is from RNAcentral. Lineage: Bacteria; Pseudomonadati; Pseudomonadota; Alphaproteobacteria; Rhodobacterales; Roseobacteraceae.